AAGGCUUGGUCCUGACUUUGCCAUCAGCUUUAACUAAACUUACACAUGCGAGUAUCCGCACCCCUGUGAGAAUGCCCCGCUACCUCCUGCUUGGAGGCGAGGAGCCGGCAUCAGGCACAAUCUUUUUAGCCCACGACGCCUUGCUAAGCCACACCCCCAAGGGGAAUUCAGCAGUGAUAAAUAUUAAGCCAUGAGUGAAAACUUGACUUAUUAGUGUUUACAGGGCCGGUAAACCUCGUGCCAGCCACCGCGGUUACACGAUGAGGCUCGAGUCGAUAGAUACCGGCGUAAAGGGUGGUUAAGACAAAACCGUUCUAGAGGAAAACACCUUUCAAACUGUUAUACGCACCCAAAGGUAAGAAAAACUUGCACGAAAGUCCCUCUAAUAAAUCCGAAUCCACGACAGCUCUGGUACAAACUGGGAUUAGAUACCCCACUAUGCUCAGCCGUAAACUUAGAUGAUCAAUUAUAAUGUUCAUCCGCCAGGGUACUACGAGCGAAAGCUUAAAACCCAAAGGACUUGGCGGUGCUUCAGACCCCCCUAGAGGAGCCUGUUCUAGAACCGAUAUUCCUCGUUAAACCUCACCGCCCCUUGUUAGUCCCGCCUAUAUACCGCCGUCGUCAGCUUACCCUUUGAAGGCGAUUAAAGUAAGCAAGACAGUUAAAAACAAACACGUCAGGUCGAGGUGUAGCGAGGGGCGGGAAGAAUGGGAUACAUUCUAUCAUCCAGAGAAAAACGGAAGGGACGCUGGAAAACAUCCCCGAAGGGGAUUUAGCAGUAGUAGGAGUACAUUUAAAUAAA
Molecule: ribosomal RNA, 802 nt
Filed under: Synodus saurus (Atlantic lizardfish)
Lineage: Eukaryota; Metazoa; Chordata; Actinopteri; Aulopiformes; Synodontidae
Description: partial 12S ribosomal RNA
Rfam family: Bacterial small subunit ribosomal RNA
Source: RNAcentral